GACGAACGCUGGCGGCGUGCUUAACACAUGCAAGUCGAACGAGUGGCGAACGGGUGAGUAACGCGUGGUAACCUGCCUGGUAGCGGGUGAUAACUAUUAGAAACGAUAGCUAAUACCUCAUACUACCAGAUGGACCUGCCUUGUAUUAGCUAGUUGGGGAGGUAACGGCUCACCAAGGCAACGAUACAUAGCUGGUCUGAGAGGAUGACCAGCAACACUGGAACUGAGACACGGUCCAGACUCCUACGGGAGGCAGCAGUGGGGAAUAUUGCACAAUGGGCGCAAGCCUGAUGCAGCCAUGCCGCGUGUAUGAAGAAGGCCUUCGGGUUGUAAAGUACUUUCAGCGGGGAGGCGUUACCCGCAGAAGAAGCACCGGCUAACUCCGUGCCAGCAGCCGCGGUAAUGC
This 406-nucleotide ribosomal RNA is filed under the name uncultured bacterium. RNAcentral describes it as "partial 16S ribosomal RNA". It matches the Rfam family "Bacterial small subunit ribosomal RNA", at positions 28 to 526 of the family's 1533-position model. The record is from RNAcentral.